AGUGAACGCUGGCGGUAGGCCUAACACAUGCAAGUCGAACGGCAGCACAGUAAGAGCUUGCUCUUACGGGUGGCGAGUGGCGGACGGGCGAGGAAUACAUCGGAAUCUACUUUUUCGUGGGGGAUAACGUAGGGAAACUUACGCUAAUACCGCAUACGACCUACGGGUGAAAGCAGGGGAUCUUCGGACCUUGCGCGAUUGAAUGAGCCGAUGUCGGAUUAGCUAGUUGGCGGGGUAAAGGCCCACCAAGGCGACGAUCCGUAGCUGGUCUGAGAGGAUGAUCAGCCACACUGGAACUAAGACACGGUCCAGACUCCUACGGGAGGCAGCAGUGGGGAAUAUUGGACAAUGGGCGCAAGCCUGAUCCAGCCAUACCGCGUGGGUGAAGAAGGCCUUCGGGUUGUAAAGCCCUUUUGUUGGGAAAGAAAAGCAGCAGGUUAAUACCCCGCUGUUCUGACGGUACCCAAAGAAUAAGCACCGGCUAACUUCGUG
This 492-nucleotide ribosomal RNA is filed under the name uncultured bacterium. RNAcentral describes it as "partial 16S ribosomal RNA". It matches the Rfam family "Bacterial small subunit ribosomal RNA", at positions 29 to 507 of the family's 1533-position model. The record is from RNAcentral.